RNAcentral lists this small nuclear RNA (107 nucleotides) under Myotis davidii. Lineage: Eukaryota; Metazoa; Chordata; Mammalia; Chiroptera; Vespertilionidae. The record is from RNAcentral.
CUGCUCACUUCAGCAGCACAUAUACUAAAAUUAGAAGGAUAAAGAGAAGAUUAUCAUGGUCCCUGUGCAAAGAUGACAUGCAAAUUCGAGAAGCAUUCCAUAAAAUU